This is a long non-coding RNA of Lolium rigidum, 1998 nucleotides long. RefSeq lists it as uncharacterized. The record is from RefSeq and is a predicted model, not a curated record. Lineage: Eukaryota; Viridiplantae; Streptophyta; Magnoliopsida; Poales; Poaceae. The transcript has 10 exons.
CCUAGAUCCACGGGUCGCCGCCUUCUCAUCUCCUCUUCUUGCAGACGACGGGAGUAGCAGCGAAAACAAUGGACGAAAAAAAGAGGGCUGCGUCGGCUGGCGUUCGAAUGUGUGAGGUCGCAUCAGAUUGUGCUCUCUCUGUGUUCAUUCAUUUCGAUCCAUGUAUUAGGUUUUAAGUUGUGUGAUGUAGUUACUGUGGAUGCAAGAUUAACGCAAAAUCUCAUGCCGGCCAAAAAAAAAAAAUGGAAUGUUCUCCUCCCUGUUUGAGAGACGUCCCCGGGCCAUGUCCGAUCAUGAAGGGGAUGGAGCCAUAGAGCCCAAAGGGCGACUCGUGGAGGGGAUCAGUUGGAGAUUGAACAUGUCUUGCAACGACAAUUCAGGAUUUGGUCGAUCUAUGUACAUCCGAGAGGUUGAGGCGGUCCUUGUGAAGCGAUGCACUUUUUGUCUGUGAUGUUGGCUCACUGGAUAACAGGCUGCAGCAACGUCCCGAUGCGAGCUAAUGAUAUAAGAUGUCCGGGAGGAGUAGCACUAGCCGCUGCUCUGCCAGGAGGACUGCCGUCACCAUUGCCAGGAGGCCAUCCUCACAUUCGGUUGCAUGGUCGAGUGGGAGAAAUGGGGCGUUGACGUACCGGCAAGGCGAAGCUGCAGCUGAUCUAAAGUACUCCCUCCGUUCCUUCUAUAAAGACUAAGAGGGGGAUAGAAGUUAUACAGAUAAGACAUCAGGUUAUUAUUCCUUCUAUCUGUGCAUCCGUUGAUUUAUUGCCAAAUCACGUCUCUUUAGCUUUUGCAGUAGCUUCAUGCUGCUUUUGGAUUGAAAGCUGCAAUGUAAAUGUGUGUUGACAUCACUCAUCUAUCUGUUGUAGGUGGCGAAUUUUUUUCAUUCAUUUCUUACUUUAAAGCUUGCUAUUAAGUUGUCAUUUGAUUCACAUGGUUUAGUGGGUCAUGGAUUUAUAAAGCUACCUAGCAUAGAAUAAUAUUGUGAGCCAGUUGAAAGUAUAGUUUGGGCGGUAAUUUAAUUUUUCAGCUUAAUAAUAAGUGCGAACUUGAGAAGGAAAUGACAAUUGGGAAGUGUUUCUUCUGGUUGGUUCAUUGCUUGAUCCAUUCACCAUUAUUUAGCCUGAGGUUGCAACACUAAUACAUAAUACUGCCAUGGAGAGUGGAGAAUGCAAAGAUAUGCGUUACUACUUGAUGUUUGACUUUAUGGGGAGAGGUUCGUUGGGCUCGGAUGCUAAUUUUAUUUGCGAUCGAUGUGUUUCUGAUGCGCGGUAUGCCUCUGGGCCUUGGACGAGGAAGGCCUAGCAGGUCCGUUGCUCUCAGGCUUGCGUGUCGCGUUCGCUUAGUUCAUCACCGUCUUCUAUUAUUGGCUCUAUGGUUGAUCAUUAGUCCACUCGGUCUGUUGUUCCCGCUGGUGGAAUCUUCUGCUGAUAAGGAUGCUCUGAGGUGCUUGGCAACGGCUGGUCAAGCCUCCUGAUGAAUUGACACCUGAACUCUCACUUUGGAUGCAUCUUCUAAACCAAGGGGACAACUGUGAAUACUUUGAUGUGGUGGGUGAUAUUGAUUGGCUGAAUUAGUUCUGUGCUCACAAGUCGUCCGAGAGGAGCACUAGGGAGAGUGAGACUCCAGUUUGCCUUGGAGGCACUGAGCAUUAACCUAACGACCAGGAUUUAUAUUUUUAAAUGGAGGGAGGGAGUAGCAUUCAAAUUUCACACAACUCAGCUAUGUCUAGAUGAUAGAUGCAAGUGGCCUCUUCUUGAUGUGGCUGAACAUGCUGAUGCGCUCCUAGAUGGUGUGCCUUAUACCUAGGCUCUGAUGUGAUCAUGUUUUGCAGACUAUGGUACCUUUGAUUUAUAACAGUCAAGAUAAAGGACAGGCAACUGAGCUGAUGAAUAACAUUUUUGGCAAGGAUACAAUUGUUGACAUAGAAUCAACUAUCAAACCUAGCCAGAUGAUAAAAAGCAAGUAGUUCUUCAGCAAUCACACGUCAUUGUACAAGUUAUC